This is a long non-coding RNA of Poecilia latipinna (sailfin molly), 680 nucleotides long. RefSeq lists it as uncharacterized. The transcript has 2 exons. The record is from RefSeq and is a predicted model, not a curated record. Lineage: Eukaryota; Metazoa; Chordata; Actinopteri; Cyprinodontiformes; Poeciliidae.
GUAAAACGUUUGCAUUUUCUAUGACUUUAUAGUUAUUGUUCAAGUAUUAAUCUUCCAAUCUUUCAAUAACACAUAAUUCUCAAAAUGUCAUUUCAAAUUUCCCGUCAACUUUUAACAUUUUUUAAUAAAAAACAUGACCAGCUACAGGAUGACUGUCAUAAAACUCAACCACCGGCCUUACCAUGUUUUCUGGGGGAUGCCCUGCAAGCACAAUGCAUGCUAAUAUUUAUUUAUCACAUACCAGAAAAAACAGCUACCUUCUGUUUAUUCAUAGUCAUGGUUGUAUUUUCUGUCUUUGUUUUAGGUUCAGUGUCAAGAAGAGGUAUGUGUAGCAUCUCUUAAACAUUGAGCUAUACGGCAAGAUCUAAGAAAAUAUCUGUUUGUCCUGAAUAUUAUUUUUUUAUAUGCUCUGCUUUUUUUUUCAUUUCAUGAUAAGAGAGAACAUAUAUCUCGGAGGAAGCGAAGGUCUUCCUCCAGAAAGCCUAUAAAGAAGGGAUGACCAGGGUGGGAUCUCCACUGGUUGGAGCGGCAUCCCAGGCCACUGGCUUGCCACCGUUUGUCAUUGAUAACUGGAUUGGAAACUAUAGGAGAAAAAAAACAUCUUCUUCUCAACCUAAAAACAAGAAGUUAUACACCAAGGACCUGUCUGGUUACAACCUGUUCUGCAGGGAUCUGUUAAA